Molecule: unclassified non-coding RNA, 6424 nt
Filed under: Pomacea canaliculata
Lineage: Eukaryota; Metazoa; Mollusca; Gastropoda; Architaenioglossa; Ampullariidae
Description: putative GPI-anchored protein pfl2, transcript variant X3
Source: RNAcentral
CAGUUCAUUACUGUUGUUCCAUCUUAUAAUAGUUGUUUGUAACAUCACUAAGUCCCAGAGCUUGAGGAACUAAUGAACUACAUAUCAACAUGGAUACCUAGCUUCUAGCCGGUGUUUAUACACAGCCUGUGUACGAUAGCGAAGCUCGUAGUUUUUAUUUUUUUUUUUUUUCAUGAGUUGACAGUAAAUAUAAACAGAUGGAACCGAUUCCCCGACAUCUUUGUAAUCCAUUAUACUAUUUAGUCUUAGAAUAAGUCCAGUAGGAAUACUCUGUUUCAGGAAGACUCAUCUGUAUAUACCCUUUAGGAAUGAAUGUUGUGGGACUCACUACAGUUAGAGUUUCUUGCUCAAUCAGACCAAGUGAAGGUUUUUAUUUUCACUACAAACUCAACAAAUACUUCAUUUAAGUGUUUUCUUGUGAGCGUCAGUUGAAGUGUAGGGUUAGAAAGUUGAGUGUGUGCAGAACAGUUGCUGCUGAUGAGGGCCUAAAGAAAGCUGCAGUUUUGCAGGUGGAACAUCAUUGGCCAUCGCGCGAGUUAAUGAAGCGUGAAAUGGAAGAGGACACACUGGAUGGAUCAUGCUUGCCGCAUUUCCUCUUGUUUACACAGAUGUAGCAUGAAGGAAUCAUGUGUUUGAGAAUGUGAAUGUUCAGGAUGACAGCUGUCUCUCCGCUGCUCGUCGGGGCAGAAAGAAUGUCUCAAAUGUUUAAAGGAAAAUAGCCACACACCUCCGAUCCGCCGAAACUUUCAUGUCGAGCAAGGUUGUGUUACCACUUAAAGACCUAGUAUGGUGCAAAAUCUUUUCUAAACCACUGAAUAUAGCUCAGUGCUAACAAAUACUCAUCUUAAUGUGGAUCAACAACUCUCUAACUCCUCUGUUGUCGAAAUUCAUGUUUACAAAUUAUUGCGAAGAAAGAUUCUAAAGUCAUGGCGGUACGAUUGUACACAAAUUAAUUAACAUAUUGUGUGAGUUUUCCCAUAGUCUAAAAUCUUAUUAAUGUAAAUGUAAUCCUGAUGUCUGUGUUGUUUCAAGAGUAGUGGAGGUCUUUGCUGUUCUUGUCCACCCUGGGCAAGUGAGUUCUCUUCUUACAGACAGCAGCCAACCAUCUUCAUCUCUUCGGCCUUUCUGACUGUCAUCUGUUUGAUUAAUGGGAAAUUAAAGACUGUCCUGGAAGUUGUAUAGAUGACUGAUGUUUCUUUUAUUGAAGACCUGAUCUUUGUGAUGAUCUGACUGCUAGGUUUUAUUAGCAAGAAAUGAGCCAACAGCUGAAGACAGAUCCGACCUCUUGUUUCUGUAUUAGCAGCCCUACAACACAGCCUCAUGUUGUCCUUCCUUCUCCGCUGCACCCUUGUAAGACCUUCGUCCUUUAAUGUUUAUUUAGACUGUAGUCUACAUUAUUAUCGUAAACCAAAGAAGUUAUCAAGUAAACAUUUUUAGAACUGGAAAGAGCUGUGUGGAUUUACAGAAACGAACCUCAUAGUACCUUCCAUGUAAGUAUACUAAGAUAAAUAUUUUUCCCUACCUUCAAGAUUCGCGUGUGUCAUUUUUACUGAAAUGUAUCCAGCUUUGGAGAUCAUAAGAAAGAUAAACGAAAAAAAAAGUUGAAGGAACUGGCUCUUGCCUGGGGGACUCUACAUGCAAGUCAAAGAUUGGAAGUGAAGAAGAGGAUGCAAAAUGUCAAACAAAUCAUCACAGGCGUGGCAUUUCACUAGACGCACCAUCAUCUACUCCAAGCACCACCAAGCAUCCUCCAGGACACCUCAAGAGAUGCUGUUGUAGAUCAAUGGACGAGAAAAACAAAUUCAUCUGUAUCCAUUGUAAUAAGUUUUAUGUGCAAAACAUAGCAAAUGGUAGUUUAACCAACGCCUACAGUAAAAAUCUCUCGAUAUAUAACUCUCACAUGUACAGUGUUGUGCAAUAUUAUUUGGAGUUUAUAAUACAUUAUAAUGUUAACUGGAAAAAAGAUUAGAACAAAGUGUUUUUAUUCUGAUAAAGUAGUAAAGUUUUUUUUACAAUAGAGUCCAACCGACCCCAAGGUGACUUGUUCAUGGUACUAGAGCAGGCUGAAGCUAGUGAGUGCUUGCUUUUUGGUUUAGUCUGAGUUAUUCUGUAAUUUUGUUGACAUUUUAUUGCUAAAUUACAGUUUGUGUUAGUAUCGUGUUAAUUCCUUAUUUUCUCACAGUGCUUUUCUCCACUGUGAUUCUUUUAAUUAGACAUAAGAAGUAAUGACUUGUCCUCAUUAGCAGCCUUUCAGAUAAGAGCUUUUUUGUGGUGAGCCGUCGGUGCAAACAAAGAAGUUCUCCCUAAUGACAAGAGAUGACAUGUGGGGCCAACUUCUGGAUUUGAAGAAAGAGCUUCCUUACCUUCUGGUCCACAAACCUCUCACCUGUCGCCACCUCAGGCCUCGUGGGGCAGAGACCAAUUUUGGAAAAGUGUGGCCAUGUUUUGAUACCUGGACAACUACAAGUAGGUGAAGAUUACCUGUAUCGGUGAAAGAACAAACUAUCUGUUUAAAUGGCUUCUCAUGAAAGUGUCUUACUCUUGUGGAGUUUGUUUAUUCUGAGUCUUAGACUACAGACGGCGUCUACUUUUGGCGAUCCAGGUACCGCAAGACAAUGGUCACCAUUGGUGACGAGAGGUGGACGCCAGGGGGCUGCUGGGAGAGUACCACGUGACUACCCGCCACCCCCACAGGUCGCCAUCACACAAUGAGACACGUGACUUGCUUAUGUCGCUGGUUUCCUUAUUGGUAUCUGUGUUGUGACAGAAAAAUUGUCAUCAAUCACUUUGAAUUGCUGCCGCAUUACAACGAAGUGUUUCCUAGACUGAGAAUAGCAGACAACCAAGUUGCUUUCCAUCCAUCCUCUUCAGCCUCGUCUGAUCCGCCAGACCUUCCCACCUACCGCCAGGCUCUUGGCUUUGUCAGUCUGCGGAAUCAAUGGCAGACAAGGAAUGGAGGAAAGGCUAAUGGCAGAGAGCUGAGUGGCACUAAGACUGGUGUCACACUCUACCUGCCAGUGUCGAGGGCCAAACCCUGGUCGCAGCAGCAGGGUGGCCUCCCUUUGUCACCGUCAAUCGAUUCACAUCGCAACUUACUGCGACCUCUGGUGGCAGAUACAGCAGCAAGCGACUCCGGCAGCAGGGAGAUGUGGCUCUAUCCAACACCUAGUUACACCCUGUCAGAUACAACUAGUUACACUAGCGACAUCGUACCACAGUGGACACCCAGUAAUGCUAGCACCACAAAGCUGAUCUCAGUUGCGGCCCCUACUAACGCUGAUAUCAUCCUCUCAGAUACAACACCUAACAACAUCCUGUCGGAUACAACACCAAGUACCGCUAACGAUAAAGAAACUUUAUCAGAUACAAAGCCUAGCAACGCCCGAGGUAAGAAAACCUCAUGGUCUACACAAACAAUCACUGGCUCCCAUGAAACCUUGUAUGACAGAACACAUAGCAACACUCUCGCCAUGGGGAGCCCCUCUGACAACACUCAGAUUAGUACUAGAAACAUAGAACUGUCGACACCUAGCAAAACAAUGUUGUCAGAGACAACAACUAGAAGCCUUACCUUGUCUCAGACAGUCCCUUUGACCUCUGUCGCCGAGGAAAUCCGACCUCAUCUAGCUCCAGGUAACACUAGAAACACAGGACUGGCAACAGGUACGAUGCCUAGCAACCAAGACACUCUGUCACGUGGCUCACCUGGAAACACUAGCAACAUGGAAAUCCUGUCUGAUGUCCUCCAUCUGACUUCGGGUACUGCACUAUGCCAUCCAAGGAAGGAAGGAAUAACUGCAGAUGUCGGGAAAACAAAAGAGGCUUCAAGUCCAGGACCGAACACACAGAGCUCCAGCAGAGUUCAAAGUCUCGAUAUAACAGAAAUUCCCUUAGUUCACGAAAGCCUGAAAAUGGUAUCAAACAGAAGUAAAGCAGGUACCGGACUCCUAAAGGCGGCUACACCUAGCACACUGGGACAGCACCAGCUUCCUGAUUCUGCAGUUUUCUCUGGAUUCCAAGAAAAAAAUAAUAUUUUAUUAGAACUAAAAUCGUCUUUUCUUGCAAGAAAUUCUGUGACCUACGAAGACAUAAUAUUACAGGAAAUAUCAACAGCAUUUAUCGCAAAUAAAUUCCUUGAGUCUGUAAACAUUCAGCCUUCUCCACUCAGCAUAUCUUUCCAGACCCCUGCACCGGCUAUGAAAAGCAAGACAGUUACUUUUGACAGACUUAACCCUCUCAGUGACCUUUCUCCUACAAGCGACCUCUUGACCUCCUUCGUGAUAAAUCCCAGUUUUGCAUUUGCAACUAUGCCUACCAUACCUGCAACACCUGCCUUUGACACUGGGCGGACCAAGGAUGUGUAUCAUCAUCACAGGAACUUAGAAGACAUGCAAUAUAAUUCUGGAGGUGAUGACAGUUUGAGUUAUCUGUUGGGUGAACACAGUUUAAAUGUUGGUCCGCUGACAUCUUCAAGGUUGGAGGACUCUCUACCUCAGCCAUCCAGACGCUUCUAUCAUUUCCCUCACAUCAUCUUCAAUUCUCGAAGAGCAGAAAGAGAGUAGUCUUUUACCUACCCCAUCAUUUCUACUGGAAAAUCAGCUUUCUUCUUUAUCUAUAUUGACAAAACUAGUUGGAGACUUAGAUCCGAUAUUUAUUGUGUCGAAACAAACAAAACUCCCAAACUCCAUGGAAUACCCACAAGAAUCUGAGGAACUCGCUUCUUCAAACAUCGUUUCACCGAAUUUAAGUGGUCGUCGUGAGAUGUUUGUUUUUUCCUCUAGUUUAUCACAAGCUCCGGCAACUUCUGCGACUACACUACUAUACAAACCUGCUCCUCCUCCAGGUAGCGAACCUUUGCGAGAAAAUUCCCAACUGAAAGUUUCCUUGGUAACCUCAGGGAUAUAUGUGACAGAUGAUUCUGAUGCCUCUUCUUCAGUUCUCCCAGUGCUGACAGUCUACAGCAAGAAGUGAGCAGUGCUUACCCUUCACCUUCUGGUACUGUAAGGUUAGACCAUGGCUGGCCCGCAGACCAUACGGGUAAGAACACCUCCACAGGUACCCCUCUGGUCCCCUCACCUGGUGUAACGGUGUCUCAGUGGAUUACAGGUACAACCGAUACCUUGGGUGCUGCUAAGGGAGGUGACUGCGGUGUGUCAUCUACCAGCUUUGCCGGCGCAGACGACCACGUAGACUUGAAGUGAAGAGCGCGAGGAGGUCAGAACGACCCGCCAGCGAGGCCGGCCAGCCUAAGUGAAAGACAGCACGUGACACACGAGGGCUCCACGUCACCUGCAGUGUCCUCUACCUCCCACCCAGGUGUAGACAAAAGUCUACCUGCAAGACAAAGUCACACCCUCAAGGUUGGAGCUGCCAUCGGGGUAGGACUAAUGUGUCUGAGUCUGGUUGUCAUGGUAAUUGUGCAUCGCAGCAGACGACGAGAACGGGGAAGAGAUGGUUUACUUCGAGAUGGAAGGCUCUUGUUACAGAGAGAUGACAACAUAAGACACUGCCUACUCAGGGCCCCGAGAUGGUACCCGGGGUAUAGCAGAGGGCUGCACAAGGCGACUGGCAGGGAAGAACUACAAGAAACUGAUCAAAUGGGAAUUUCAACUGUCUGUCACAAAAAGUAGGCAGGUGUAAAGGUGUAAAAAUGAUUGAUAAAAAUCUUUAGUAACACUCUAAUAGCUAUAUCACACUGAAAUGUUUAUCAACAGCCAUGACAUAUAUUCCAUAAUUUCUUCACAUGGUGCAUGACAUGCAUCAUUAGUACGUGUGGCAAAAGAUUUUAUUUACUUUUUUAUAUGGCCUUCCUCACUGUCACCCACUUCAACAGACAGGCCAUUUUAAAAUAGAAAAUAGAGAACAUCUAUUCGUGGAGAGCCGAGAUUGAAUUCUCGAAAGGAAAGAAGAUAAAGGAAACUAUUAAACUCGUAGAGUGUCAUUACCAGCCUCCAUCGCCCGCUCUCCCCACAGACUUAGAAGAGAGAGUGACUGUGUUUAUACCUCUCAUGACGAUCUCUUGCCGACAAAAGAGGAAGAUAACCUGAAGUUACCCAUAUAACCAGCGAAGUGCCUGGGUUCCUCCUUUGCUGCCUCACUUUAUCACAGCAGGAUCGCUGAUAUUGCAUCCAUUGUAUUCAUUUACUUCUUCAGGAAGAACAUCCUGUCCUGAAAGGUUUUAGAAAUGAAAUGAUGGCCGCCCUCGUCAUCGUCCCGCCCACAGGAGGCUAAACGGGGAAACAAGAAUUUUCUCUUCUUUGUACAAGUGCUUGUAGUCGACAGUUUGCGUUUCUUUGAUUUCACUUUUUAAUAACAGAAUUAGUUUUGAACAAAAAAAACUUUUUGAUAAGAUCGCUUUGAAGAAGUUAUUGUGAUUUGAAGGAGAAAUUGCCUGUAGGAGCAUUUGCAAAACUAAUGAGUGUAA